GAUGGGAGACUGGGGAAAUUUCCUUCUGAUUGCUUCUGUUUUCCCAGUGAAACAGGAAGCAAGGUCAUCCAUCAACUGACGGCGAAUACGGCAGCUCAGGCUGGAGACUUUCAGUGACUCGCCCAAGAUCAUGCAGCAGAAUCCCCAUCAUCUCCAUCAUCCCCAUCAGCCCCAUCAGCCCCAUCAUCUCCAUCAUCCCCAUCAUCUCCAUCACCAUCAUCUUCAUGGCAGCUAGCCUGUAUCGGUCACUCCCUGCUGGCCAGCUGCGUCUCAUUUCAUCCUCAGGGCCUCUCUGAGGUGGCCACUCUCAUUAUUUUCAUUUUACAGGUGGGGAAACAUCACAGAGCAG
RNAcentral lists this long non-coding RNA (349 nucleotides) under Equus asinus (donkey). Its description in RNAcentral is "lncRNA (ENSEASG00005030815.1)". Lineage: Eukaryota; Metazoa; Chordata; Mammalia; Perissodactyla; Equidae. The record is from RNAcentral.